CAAUAGCGUAUAUUUAAGUUGUUGCAGUUAAAAAGCUCGUAGUUGGAUUUCGGAUGGGAUUUGCCGGUCCGUCGUUACGAUGUGCACUGGCCAGUCCUAUCUUGUUGUCGGGGACUAGCUCCUUGGAUUCACUUCCUGGGACUAGGAGCUGACGAGGUUACUUUGAGUAAAUUAGAGUGUUCAAAGCAAGCCUACGCUCUGAAUACAUUAGCAUGGAAUAACACGAUUGGACUCUGGCUUAUCUUGUUGGUCUGUGAGACCAGAGUAAUGAUUAAGAGGGACAGUCGGGGACAUUCGUAUUUCAUUGUCAGAGGUGAAAUUCUUGGAUUUAUGAAAGACGAACUUCUGCGAAAGCAUUUGUCAAGGAUGUUUUCAUUAA
Molecule: ribosomal RNA, 379 nt
Filed under: uncultured eukaryote
Lineage: Eukaryota
Description: partial 18S ribosomal RNA
Rfam family: Eukaryotic small subunit ribosomal RNA
Source: RNAcentral